This 427-nucleotide ribosomal RNA is filed under the name uncultured bacterium. Its description in RNAcentral is "partial 16S ribosomal RNA". It matches the Rfam family "Bacterial small subunit ribosomal RNA", at positions 354 to 796 of the family's 1533-position model. The record is from RNAcentral.
GUGGGGAAUAUUGGGCAAUGGGGGCAACCCUGACCCAGCGACGCCGCGUGGGUGAAGAAAUCCCUCGGGAUGUAAAGCCCUGUUGUAUGGGAAGAGCAGAAGACGGUACCAUACGAGGAAGCCCCGGCAAACUACGUGCCAGCAGCCGCGGUAAUACGUAGGGGGCAAGCGUUGUCCGGAAUUACUGGGCGUAAAGCGCACGCAGGCUGAAUUAUAAGUCGGUAGUCAAAUACGGAGGCUCAACUUCCGGAUAUCUAUCGAUACUGUAAAUCUAGAGUAUGUGAGAGGGAAGCGGAAUUCCCGGUGUAGCGGUGAGAUGCGUAGAUAUCGGGAGGAACACCAGUGGCGAAGGCGGCUUCCUGGCACAAUACUGACGCUCAUGUGCGAAAGCUAGGGCAGCGAACGGGAUUAGAAACCCGGGUAGUCC